RNAcentral lists this ribosomal RNA (815 nucleotides) under Eobania constantina. RNAcentral describes it as "Eobania constantinae partial large subunit ribosomal RNA". Lineage: Eukaryota; Metazoa; Mollusca; Gastropoda; Stylommatophora; Helicidae. The record is from RNAcentral.
UUACUACAAUAUACUUGUAUACGUGUUCACGAAGGGACGCGAGCUAGGUAUAUAAUGUUAUUAGUCUACAUUGUAAUACGUAGUAUAGUAUUUAUAAUAUAUAUACCUUGAGGUGAUAGGCUUUUCAAGCUUCCCGAUAACUUGAUAUGUAAGAAAAAUAUUAAGUAUUAAAUCAAACUAUUAAAGUUAAGCUUGGUAGUUAUUAUCAAUGAAAUGUUUGCGUAUGCUGCUUAAGCUUAAUCCCUGGGUUGUCAUAUAGAUUAUUAUAAAGUAUUUGUUUUUAUAAGUAUUAUUACAUUAUAUUUUUGCGUUUAAAAUAGAUAAUGUAAAUAUAAGUAAUUAUUAGGUUUGUUUUUAAGGAACUCGGCAAAUAAGCUACUCAACUGUUUAUCAAAAACAUAACUAUAUGAUAUAAUAUAUAGCGUUUCUGCUCAAUGGAACUCUAAAUAGCCGCAGUACUCUGACUGUGCAAAGGUAGCAUAAUCAAUUGGCCUCUAAUUAAGGUCUAGUAUGAACGAACUUAUGGGUAGCAACUGUCUUAAAAUAGUAAAUUAAAUUAAUUAAUAAGUGCAAAUGCUUAUUUGAUUAUAUUAGACGAGAAGACCCUAGAAACUUAUUAUAUUUUGUUGGGGCGACAGAAUUACAUAAAACUAAUUUUAUUUUACGGGACGUAAAACAGAAAGAUAAAGUUACUCUAGGGAUAACAGCAUAAUUUUAAUUAGCUUGUGACCUCGAUGUUGGACUAGGUAGAAAGUUUUUUAGAAGAAAGCUUUCUUCGCUCUGUUCGAGCAAUUUUAACCUACAUGAUCUGAGUU